GGAUGUGUUAUGUGUUAUUGUAGAGGAUCUAAUAUGUGUGCUUAUGGUAUGUAGUGUUUAGGGUUACCAGUUUGUGCAGGUGAUGCAGUGUGUUUGUGUGCAGUGGAAGCAGUGUGUAUUUGUGUAUAAGGGAUGUAUUAUGUGUUUCUGGUUGUGUGUAAGGGAUGCAUUGUGUGAAUCUGUGUUUGUAUGCAUAAGGGAUGCAAGGUGUG
Non-coding RNA from Pelobates cultripes (western spadefoot toad), 212 nucleotides. Lineage: Eukaryota; Metazoa; Chordata; Amphibia; Anura; Pelobatidae. The record is from the annotation of a GenBank genome assembly.